RNAcentral lists this signal recognition particle RNA (293 nucleotides) under Saimiri boliviensis boliviensis (Bolivian squirrel monkey). Its description in RNAcentral is "Metazoan signal recognition particle RNA (ENSSBOG00000009639.1)". It matches the Rfam family "Metazoan signal recognition particle RNA". Rfam says of the family: The signal recognition particle (SRP) is a universally conserved ribonucleoprotein. It is involved in the co-translational targeting of proteins to membranes. The eukaryotic SRP consists of a 300-nucleotide 7S RNA and six proteins: SRPs 72, 68, 54, 19, 14, and 9. Lineage: Eukaryota; Metazoa; Chordata; Mammalia; Primates; Cebidae. The record is from Rfam by way of RNAcentral.
GCCGGGUAUGGGGGCGCAUCCCUGUAGGACCAGCUACUAGGAGGCUUCAGCGGGAGGACCAGCUGAGCCCAGGAGUCCUGGGCUGAGUGCACUACAUGGCUGGGCAUCUGCACUAUGUUCAGCAUCAACAUGGUGACCUCCCGGGAGCAGGGGACCACAGGUUGCCUAAGGAGGGGUGAAUGGGCCCAGGUCAGAAACGGAGCAGGUCAAAACUCUCAUGCUGAUCAGCAGUGGGAUUGCGCCUAUAAAUAGCCAGUGCACUCCAGGCUGGGCAACAUAAUGAGAUCCUGUCU